RNAcentral lists this ribosomal RNA (216 nucleotides) under uncultured bacterium. RNAcentral's name for it is "partial 16S ribosomal RNA". It matches the Rfam family "Bacterial small subunit ribosomal RNA", at positions 125 to 334 of the family's 1533-position model. The record is from RNAcentral.
CCUACCAUACAGUGGGGGAUAACCAGAAGAAAUUCUGGCUAAUACCGCAUACGAAGCACAAAUUUGAAAGUAGUGCUUGAAAGGAUGCUUCGGCAUUCACUGUUUGAUGGGCCUGCGUAGCAUUAGUUUGAUGGUGGGGUAACGGCCUACCAUGACUACGAUGCUUAGCUGGUCUGAGAGGAUGAUCAGCCACACUGGAACUGAGACACGGUCCAG